This 1243-nucleotide ribosomal RNA is filed under the name uncultured marine eukaryote. RNAcentral describes it as "SSU rRNA". It matches the Rfam family "Eukaryotic small subunit ribosomal RNA", at positions 577 to 1831 of the family's 1831-position model. The record is from RNAcentral.
CGGUAAUUCCAGCUCCAAUAGCGUAUAUUAAAGUUGUUGCAGUUAAAAAGCUCGUAGUCUGAGUCUUGGCUGGCGCUGAGCGUCCGUGGGCCUUGUGGCUCGCGCGCAUGCGACAUUGUGCUGGCCAUUGUACUUCGGAGGAGCGUGCGUGCUUUUCACUAAGUGCGCGCGGGAUUCCGAUAGUUUACUUUGAGAAAAAUAGAGUGUUCAAAGCAGGCGUUUUUGCCUUGAAUACAUUAGCAUGGGAUAAUGGAAUAGGACAUUGGUUCUAUUUUGUUGGUUUACGGACCGAUGUAAUGAUUAACAGGAACAGUUGGGGACAUUUAUAUUCCAUGGCUAGAGGUGAAAUUCUUGGAUUCAUGGAAGAUAAACUACUGCGAAAGCAUUUGUCAAAGAUGUUUUCAUUGAUCAAGAACGAAAGUUAGGGGAGCAAAGACGAUCAGAUACCGUCGUAGUCUUAACCAUAAACGAUGCCGACUAGGGAUCGGUGGGCGUUAGUUUUAUGACUCCAUCGGCACCUCAUGGGAAACCAAUAAGUCUUUGGGUUCCGGGGGGAGUAUGGUCGCAAGGCUGAAACUUAAAGGAAUUGACGGAAGGGCACCACCAGGAGUGGAGCCUGCGGCUUAAUUUGACCCAACACGGGAAAACUCACCAGGUCCAGACAUGAGAAGGAUUGACAGAUUGAGAGCUCUUUCUUGAUUCCAUGAAAGGUGGCGCAUGGCCGUUCUUAGUUGGUGGAGUGAUUUGUCUGGUUAAUUCCGUUAACGAACGAGACCUUGACCUGCUAACUAGUCACCGCAAGCCUUGUGCUUGCGGGCUGUACUUCUUAGAGGGACAAUCUGUGUUUCCAGCAGAUGGAAGUGCGAGGCAAUAACAGGUCUGUGAUGCCCUUAGAUGUCCCGGGCUGCACGCGCGCUACACUGACGAACGCAACGAGUUUAUCACCUUGGCAGAGAUGUCUGGGUAAUCUUUUAAAAGUUCGUCGUGAUGGGGAUAGAUGAUUGUAAUUAUUCGUCUCGAACGAGGAAUUCCUAGUAAGUGUGAGUCAUCAGCUCGCGCUGAUUACGUCCCUGCCCUUUGUACACACCGCCCGUCGCUCCUACCGAUUGAAUGGUCCGGUGAGAACGUCGGAUUUUGCGCUUGAUACUGGGCACAUGACUGGCGAGAGGAGAAGGGUCAACUUACAGUCAGGAGGAAAGGUUAACAGGAGAUACCGAAAUCACUAUAGUCGUCGCGCUGUUCU